Cyprinus carpio carpio is the source of this 741-nucleotide long non-coding RNA. NCBI's taxonomy places the organism in Eukaryota, Metazoa, Chordata, Actinopteri, Cypriniformes, Cyprinidae. The record is from Ensembl.
ACAGGCUGCAGAAAAACAAGAGGAGCACGAGAAAGAACAAACAUUUGUUUUCAAAACAAUAUUAUGAAAAAUGGACUAAUGGUAGACUGUGGAGCAACAUUCCAGAUCUUAACAGAGAAGAAUGAUUUCACGAAAUUUGAUGAGAAUUUCGACCCAAAGUCACACUACAUGGAGCUGGCGGAUGGAGCCAGGAUGAACAACGUGGCAUUAAAGCGGGGCGACGCAUAGGUGUUACUGCUGGAUGUGGAGGGGAAAUGCGUCAGGAUCACUCUAAAGAAGGCCUUGUUCAUACCAUCAUAUCCACAUAGCAUCAUCUUCGUUCAAGCUGCUACAACAGAUGGUGCCAAGGUGAUCUUCCAGGAAGGACAAAAUGAACUGAUAAGCAAGGAUGGAGCUGUGUUCCGCAUAGAAGAGCAUGACAGACUGUACUAUCUGAAAACGGGCAGUGUGUGGAGUUCCCCAAACCUAUAGAGAAGCCCUUAUGUCACCUGAUGCUCCCGGAUGGGAACAUGCUAUGAAGGAAGAGAUGGACUCACUUAAAGAAAAUGACAUAUUUGAAUUGACAACUCUACCAGAGGGCAGAAAAACAGCAGGGGGAAGAUGGGUAUAUGCCCUUAAAGAAAAUGCAGAAUGAGGAAAAAUCUUCAAGGCUAAUUAUGUUGCAAAAGGAUACAACCAAACUGAAGGCAUAGACUACCAUGAGACAUUUGCUCCUACAGCAAAUCUCACCUCUGUACGGGC